UUUUUUUUUUUUAUGUCUAGCAUGCCUGUAAGUUCAGUAUGCAUAUGAUCAGGUGACUCCACUAUAUUUUAUUGGGUUCCUUGGUUCUACUCUUUCUUUGGCUAAAACUAUUGAGCAUAUAUUGAAGGGCUUGAAAGUCAAUCCAUUCAGGAUUCCUCAGGGUAGAUAGUUUUCUCUUUAUAGGGCUUUCACUUUUUCUUGAUGUUGAAUUCCCCUUACCUAUGCCAAGUUUCUGACUGUAGCAUCCCUGACACCAAGAGUGACUAAUCCCUCUGUUUUCCAGCUUUCUGAGACCAAGAUCUUCACUGCCUCUAACGUGUCUUCAGUGCCUCUGCCUGCGGAGAAUGUGACAAUCACUGCUGGUCAGAGAAUUGACCUUGCUGUUCUGCUGGGGAAGACACCAUCUACAAUGGAGAAUGAUUCAUCUAAUCUGGAUCCGUCUCAGGCUCCUUCUCUGGCCCAGCCUCUGGUGUUCAGUAAUUCGAAGCAGACUGCCAUAUCACAGCCUGCUUCAGGGAACACAUUUUCUCAUCACAGUAUGGUGAGCAUGUUAGGGAAAGGAUUUGGUGAUGUUGGUGAAGCUAAAGGCGGCAGUACUACGGGCUCCCAGUUCUUGGAGCAAUUCAAGACUGCCCAAGCCCUGGCUCAGUUGGCAGCUCAGCAUUCUCAGUCUGGAAGCACCACCACCUCCUCUUGGGACAUGGGCUCGACGACACAAUCCCCAUCACUGGUGCAGUAUGAUUUGAAGAACCCAAGUGAUUCAACAGUGCACAGCCCCUUUACAAAGCGCCAGGCUUUUA
This 800-nucleotide small RNA is filed under the name Pongo abelii (Sumatran orangutan). RNAcentral describes it as "processed transcript". The record is from RNAcentral. Lineage: Eukaryota; Metazoa; Chordata; Mammalia; Primates; Hominidae.